GUCUAUGGCCAUGACACCCUGAACACAUCUGAUCUUGUCUGAUCUCGGAAGCUAAGUAGGGUCGGGCUUGGUUAGUACUUGGAUGGGAGACUACUUAGGAAGACCAGGUGCUGAAGGUG
RNAcentral lists this ribosomal RNA (119 nucleotides) under Pteropus vampyrus (large flying fox). The record is from RNAcentral. Lineage: Eukaryota; Metazoa; Chordata; Mammalia; Chiroptera; Pteropodidae.